Molecule: ribosomal RNA, 1463 nt
Filed under: Weissella confusa
Lineage: Bacteria; Bacillati; Bacillota; Bacilli; Lactobacillales; Lactobacillaceae
Description: bacterial SSU rRNA
Rfam family: Bacterial small subunit ribosomal RNA
Source: RNAcentral
UAAUACAUGCAAGUCGAACGCUUUGUGGUUCAACUGAUUUGAAGAGCUUGCUCAGAUAUGACGAUGGACAUUGCAAAGAGUGGCGAACGGGUGAGUAACACGUGGGAAACCUACCUCUUAGCAGGGGAUAACAUUUGGAAACAGAUGCUAAUACCGUAUAACAAUGACAACCGCAUGGUUGUUAUUUAAAAGAUGGUUCUGCUAUCACUAAGAGAUGGUCCCGCGGUGCAUUAGCUAGUUGGUAAGGUAAUGGCUUACCAAGGCGAUGAUGCAUAGCCGAGUUGAGAGACUGAUCGGCCACAAUGGGACUGAGACACGGCCCAUACUCCUACGGGAGGCAGCAGUAGGGAAUCUUCCACAAUGGGCGAAAGCCUGAUGGAGCAACGCCGCGUGUGUGAUGAAGGGUUUCGGCUCGUAAAACACUGUUGUAAGAGAAGAAUGACAUUGAGAGUAACUGUUCAAUGUGUGACGGUAUCUUACCAGAAAGGAACGGCUAAAUACGUGCCAGCAGCCGCGGUAAUACGUAUGUUCCAAGCGUUAUCCGGAUUUAUUGGGCGUAAAGCGAGCGCAGACGGUUAUUUAAGUCUGAAGUGAAAGCCCUCAGCUCAACUGAGGAAUUGCUUUGGAAACUGGAUGACUUGAGUGCAGUAGAGGAAAGUGGAACUCCAUGUGUAGCGGUGAAAUGCGUAGAUAUAUGGAAGAACACCAGUGGCGAAGGCGGCUUUCUGGACUGUAACUGACGUUGAGGCUCGAAAGUGUGGGUAGCAAACAGGAUUAGAUACCCUGGUAGUCCACACCGUAAACGAUGAGUGCUAGGUGUUUGAGGGUUUCCGCCCUUAAGUGCCGCAGCUAACGCAUUAAGCACUCCGCCUGGGGAGUACGACCGCAAGGUUGAAACUCAAAGGAAUUGACGGGGACCCGCACAAGCGGUGGAGCAUGUGGUUUAAUUCGAAGCAACGCGAAGAACCUUACCAGGUCUUGACAUCCCUUGACAACUCCAGAGAUGGAGCGUUCCCUUCGGGGACAAGGUGACAGGUGGUGCAUGGUUGUCGUCAGCUCGUGUCGUGAGAUGUUGGGUUAAGUCCCGCAACGAGCGCAACCCUUAUUACUAGUUGCCAGCAUUCAGUUGGGCACUCUAGUGAGACUGCCGGUGACAAACCGGAGGAAGGUGGGGAUGACGUCAAAUCAUCAUGCCCCUUAUGACCUGGGCUACACACGUGCUACAAUGGCGUAUACAACGAGUUGCCAACCCGCGAGGGUGAGCUAAUCUCUUAAAGUACGUCUCAGUUCGGAUUGUAGGCUGCAACUCGCCUACAUGAAGUCGGAAUCGCUAGUAAUCGCGGAUCAGCACGCCGCGGUGAAUACGUUCCCGGGUCUUGUACACACCGCCCGUCACACCAUGAGAGUUUGUAACACCCAAAGCCGGUGGGGUAACCUUCGGGAGCCAGCCGUCUAAGGUGGAC